This 428-nucleotide ribosomal RNA is filed under the name Bacteroidota bacterium. Its description in RNAcentral is "Bacteroidetes bacterium partial 16S ribosomal RNA". It matches the Rfam family "Bacterial small subunit ribosomal RNA", at positions 355 to 776 of the family's 1533-position model. The record is from RNAcentral. Lineage: Bacteria; Pseudomonadati; Bacteroidota.
UAGGGAAUCUUCCGCAAUGGACGCAAGUCUGACGGAGCAACGCCGCGUGAGUGAAGAAGGAUUUCGGUUCGUAAAACUCUGUUGUUAGAGAAGAACAGCGCAUAGAGUAACUGUUAUGCGUGUGACGGUGUCUAACCAGAAAGCCACGGCUAACUACGUGCCAGCAGCCGCGGUAAUACGUAGGUCCCGAGCGUUGUCCGGAUUUAUUGGGCGUAAAGCGAGCGCAGGCGGUUAGAAAAGUCUGAAGUGAAAGGCAGUGGCUCAACCAUUGUAGGCUUUGGAAACUGUUUAACUUGAGUGCAGAAGGGGAGAGUGGAAUUCCAUGUGUAGCGGUGAAAUGCGUAGAUAUAUGGAGGAACACCGGUGGCGAAAGCGGCUCUCUGGUCUGUAACUGACGCUGAGGCUCGAAAGCGUGGGGAGCGAACAGG